AUGAUUGCUUCGGCAACAUAUAUACUAAAAUUAGAAUGAUACAGAGAAGAUUAGCAUUACCCCUGUGCAAGAAGGAUGACACUCAAAUUUGUGAAGCGUACCAUAUUAAA
Molecule: small nuclear RNA, 110 nt
Organism: Meriones unguiculatus (Mongolian gerbil)
Lineage: Eukaryota; Metazoa; Chordata; Mammalia; Rodentia; Muridae
Source: Ensembl